UACGGAGGAUGCGAGCGUUAUCCGGAUUUAUUGGGCUUAAAGGGUGCGCAGGCGGCGCGUCAAGUCAGCGGUAAAAUGUCGGGGCUCAACCCCGGCCGGCCGUUGAAACUGGCGUGCUCGAGUUGGAGAGAAGUAUGCGGAAUUCGUGGUGUAGCGGUGAAAUGCAUAGAUAUCACGAAGAACCCCGAUUGCGAAGGCAGCAUACCGGCUCCACACUGACGCUGAGGCACGAAAGCGUGGGUAUCGAACAGG
RNAcentral lists this ribosomal RNA (252 nucleotides) under uncultured bacterium. RNAcentral describes it as "partial 16S ribosomal RNA". It matches the Rfam family "Bacterial small subunit ribosomal RNA", at positions 524 to 776 of the family's 1533-position model. The record is from RNAcentral.